Long non-coding RNA from Andrographis paniculata, 658 nucleotides. RefSeq lists it as uncharacterized. The transcript is spliced from 2 exons. The record is from RefSeq and is a predicted model, not a curated record. NCBI's taxonomy places the organism in Eukaryota, Viridiplantae, Streptophyta, Magnoliopsida, Lamiales, Acanthaceae.
CUAGGCCCAUUCAUUUGUUAAAGGGCUUCAGCCCACACAAGUCUAUGGUUGUCCUCUGCUGUAAUUCUCUCAGCUGGUCGGGGGCCAUCACACUUCUCUCGUUCCUCGUCUGAUUGAUUCCCAUCACACUUUUCUCACCUACUCGUUCAUCUCCGCCUCAUGGAUUCCUCGUGUCUUUUCUGUACCGCUUCCUCUAAUCUUUUACGCAGGUCAUGUUAUUGUGCUGCUGCAUAUUGAUUUCAUCGCGAUUACACUAGUACAUGAGGAUCUGUGAACAGCGCUUGAGGAUACCUCUUGUUUUACACUCCUGGUUCGAUGUGUUGAAGAAUAUUGAUGAAUGAAUAACCUGUCGUCGUGGGAACCUGGGGAGAUGGGGUGAGGAAGAAUUCUGGCUUCUAUAACAGCUUUUGGUUUUCUUUAGGUUGAUCGUUUUUAGGAAACAUGGUGAGGCAUGGUCAUAUCUGCGGCGAGAAUUAGUGGUCUGGGGGCACUGUUGUAAAGAACAGGGAUUAAGUGUUAAUUAUAGCUGUGCUUGUCUCGUCAAUGAUCAUUGAUGUUAGUUUGUUUAUUUUGUAUGAGAUAUGAAGAUUUAUUGGAAUUUUUAGGGUUAUCUUGUGCAGUGGGGUGAAUUUUUAUGCAAUUUAUAUAUUUAAGUUGA